RNAcentral lists this ribosomal RNA (249 nucleotides) under uncultured Actinomycetales bacterium. RNAcentral describes it as "partial 16S ribosomal RNA". It matches the Rfam family "Bacterial small subunit ribosomal RNA", at positions 84 to 334 of the family's 1533-position model. Lineage: Bacteria; Bacillati; Actinomycetota; Actinomycetes; Actinomycetales. The record is from RNAcentral.
GGGGUGCUCGAGUGGCGAACGGGUGAGUAACACGUGAGUAACCUGCCCUUGACUUUGGGAUAACUUCAGGAAACUGGGGCUAAUACCGGAUAGGAGCUCCUGCUGCAUGGUGGGGGUUGGAAAGUUUCGGCGGUUGGGGAUGGACUCGCGGCUUAUCAGCUUGUUGGUGGGGUAGUGGCUUACCAAGGCUUUGACGGGUAGCCGGCCUGGGAGGGUGACCGGCCACAUUGGGACUGAGAUACGGCCCAG